AGCAGCCGCGGUAAUUCCAGCUCCAAUAGCGUAUAUUUAAGUUGUUGCAGUUAAAAAGCUCGUAGUUGAAUUUUAGGCCUGGCCAGGCGGUCCGUCUUUGGCGAGUACUGUCUUGUGUCGGGUCUUCCUUCUGGUGAACCUGUAUGUCCUUUAUUGGGUGUGCUGGGGAGCCAGGACCAUUACCUUGAAAAAAUUAGAGUGUUUAAAGCGGGCUAUUGCUUGAAUAGAUUAGCAUGGAAUAAUAGAAUAGGACGUUGUGGUUCUAUUUUGUUGGUUUCUAGGACCACCGUAAUGAUUAAUAGGGAUAGUUGGGGGCAUUAGUAUUCAAUUGUCGGAGGUGAAAUUCUUGGAUUUAUUGAAGACUAACUACUGCGAAAGCAUUUGCCAAGGAUGUUUUCAUUAAUCAAGAACGAAAGCUAGGGGAUCGAAGACGAUCAGAUACCGUCGUAGUCUUAACCAUAAACUAUGCCGACUAGGAAUCGGGCGACGUUAUUUUCAUGACUCGCUCGGCGCCUUAUGG
This 520-nucleotide ribosomal RNA is filed under the name uncultured Archaeospora. Its description in RNAcentral is "SSU rRNA". It matches the Rfam family "Eukaryotic small subunit ribosomal RNA", at positions 569 to 1093 of the family's 1831-position model. Lineage: Eukaryota; Fungi; Glomeromycota; Glomeromycetes; Archaeosporales; Archaeosporaceae. The record is from RNAcentral.